RNAcentral lists this long non-coding RNA (296 nucleotides) under Mustela putorius furo (domestic ferret). RNAcentral describes it as "lncRNA (ENSMPUG00000027802.1)". The record is from RNAcentral. Lineage: Eukaryota; Metazoa; Chordata; Mammalia; Carnivora; Mustelidae.
UCUCCGCGCCCAGGUAGGCAUCUGGAGCGCCGAGCCCGCCUCCCUGCGGCGGUGCCACCUGCCUCUAGGCUGUCUCGCCGGCUGGGAAGGGCGAUGGACGCCGCUGGCACGUGCCCGAGUACGGACACAAGGAUUUGUUCCAGACAUCCAUGAACAAACCAGAACGAAGCCCUUUCCCGCCAAACCACUAGGGCUUGGAAAUACACAGAAUACACAGUGCCGGCCCAAACUCUGGGAGCGGGAACCCGGGAGAAGACUUGAGCGGUAAGAGAUCUAGAGCAUUAGAAGGAGGGAGG